AAGCGUCACUACGCGGUUCUCUCUCUCUUUCAUAAUUUACUUUCCUCCACUCUCUGGCCAUUCACUCUUAAUUUUUCAGGGAGGUUUCCUCUGCAACUAGCUUUCAUUUUCCUCGUCCAGUUUUCACAGUUCACAGUGGAUUUCCCUAGGUCACAGUGACCUUUAUUUUCGAUCUUGGUGGUUUCCAAUGGCUUUGAGCACCCACAGGGCCUCCUCAUCUCGUGAUUGGGCUGAACCACCUCCCCAGUGGAAUUUCGAUGUUUUCUUGAGUUUCAGGGGUGAAGACACCCGCACGGGUUUCGUCUCCCAUUUAUUCCGCGAACUGCAGUACCGGAAAGUAUUUAAGACUUUCAAGGACGACCGAGAGCUUGAGAUCGGAAGGGUUUUUAGAGCUUUCCAAGUGUUUUGUAGAUUAUGCCAAAGGGCUUCCAUUAGCUCUAAAAACUCUGGGAAGUUCUUUACCGGAGGUGCAAAAGGCUUGAACAAUUACCGGAUCUCCCAUCGAAUGAGGACUUAAACGUAUAUGCAGACGAUUGUGAUUCCUUAAAAAUGUUGUCAGAACCGUCACAGCAGGGCAGAUUCCCCAAAUUGACGCACUUUAAUUUACGUGCUGUCAAUUGCUUUGGUUUGAUUGACAAUGAAGGCUUCAAUAAUGGAAUAUUUUCAAUGCUAAGGAGAUUGGCCGCUCAGGUAUUCUCUCUCUCUCAUAUUGAACAUGGAUAAUUAUUUCUUUGGUAUAGGGGGAUCUCUCCCGAUUCUCUUCACUCAUUCGAAUACCACCACCGCGGUACGUCAUUCCAUAUUGUAAGUCCUGGAAGUAAAAUUUCAGACUGGUUCGAUACUCAAAGCGAAGGAGAUUCAUUGACUGUGGAACUGCCUCCGGAUCGGGAAUCAUGUACAUCAGAGUGGAUGGGCAUUGUGUUUUGUGUUGUUUUUGCCGGUAAGAAAGAUCCUAUCGCUCUCGAGGCUCCUAUAUUGGCAAUUCAAUGUUUAUCGCCUUGGAUUGUUACCUGUCCGGCUUUGCCAAACCAUCGAAUUGUUACCGAUCCGGUUUUACCAAAACAUACGAUGGGAGAUCAUCUUUGGGUGUUUUUUAUCGGUCGUUGUCAAAUCCAGGAUACCACAAGCUGCUCUAAUAGGUUCUCAUUCAAGCUUAAUCACGGGAUUAACAAUCCUAUUCCAUGCUCGUAUUGUGUGAAGAGCUGUGGGGCUCGAUUGUUGUACGAGCAAGAUUUGAAAAACCUCCUCAAUGGAACAACCAACAUCUUGUGAAUAUUGUGACAAGGACGAAGCAGAGGAAGGGGAAGGUCCAAGAUGUGCAAUUGCAAGUGGUAGCCCUACCAAAGAAUCAUUUUUCAAAAGACUCAAGGCAUGAAUACUAAUCGAUCCAUGGGGAGGAACUACCUCUUUCUGGUUCUGAUUCUCGUACAGCUGGGCUGCUAGUGGUCUCUUUGGCGACAAUGGUCUUCCGCUAUUCUUCCUUUCAGUACUUGAGGAGCCCAUCCACCACAAGAUUUGUGGAGCAUUGGCCAGGGCUAUCUCUGCCUCCGUUAGGAUGCCAUGUUGCUGCUGUGAAGACAAGGCUGAUCAAGAUGUUGCUUUGGUUGGUUUGAAAUUUCUCUUCCAUAUUCCAUUUCAUUUGUUGUCCUCAUUCCUUCUAACUGCUCACAUUCAUUCCUACAAAUAGUAAAUAUUGUUGCAAUUUUUAGUGUCCUGUAAAUUAAUUUUCUAAGAGUAAUGAGUAGAAGACUAGAAGUAGAAGUCUAGGACCAUGAUCCAAUUCAAUGCUUACUUUCUAUGUUCUCUUUCAUGAAAUGUUAAUGCAUAAUGCCCGUGAGAUAUCAUUACAUUCUUUACUAACGUUCUA
Molecule: long non-coding RNA, 1867 nt
Organism: Rosa chinensis
Lineage: Eukaryota; Viridiplantae; Streptophyta; Magnoliopsida; Rosales; Rosaceae
Exons: 2
Source: RefSeq, a predicted model, not a curated record